Molecule: ribosomal RNA, 441 nt
Filed under: uncultured bacterium
Lineage: Bacteria
Description: partial 16S ribosomal RNA
Rfam family: Bacterial small subunit ribosomal RNA
Source: RNAcentral
CCUACGGGAGGCAGCAGUGGGGAAUAUUGCACAAUGGGGGAAACCCUGAUGCAGCGACGCCGCGUGAGUGAAGAAGUAUUUCGGUAUGUAAAGCUCUAUCAGCAGGGAAGAAAAUGACGGUACCUGACUAAGAAGCCCCGGCUAACUACGUGCCAGCAGCCGCGGUAAUACGUAGGGGGCAAGCGUUAUCCGGAUUUACUGGGUGUGAAGGGAGCGUAGGUGGCAUGGUAAGCCAGAAGUGAAAACCCAGGGCUCAACUCUGUGGAUUGCUUUUGGAACUAUCAAGCUAGAGUGCUGGAGGGGUAAGCGGAAUUCCUAGUGUAGCGGUGAAAUGCGUAGAUAUUAGGAGGAACACCGGUGGCGAAGGCGGCUUACUGGACAGAAACUGACACUGAGGCUCGAAAGCGUGGGGAGCAAACAGGAUUAGAUACCCCAGUAGUC